RNAcentral lists this ribosomal RNA (957 nucleotides) under uncultured Peptococcaceae bacterium. RNAcentral describes it as "bacterial SSU rRNA". It matches the Rfam family "Bacterial small subunit ribosomal RNA", at positions 8 to 924 of the family's 1533-position model. Lineage: Bacteria; Bacillati; Bacillota; Clostridia; Eubacteriales; Peptococcaceae. The record is from RNAcentral.
AGAGUUUGAUCCUGGCUCAGGACGAACGCUGGCGGCAUGCCUAACACAUGCAAGUCGAACGGAGUUAUUAUUCAGAAGUUCUUCGGGAUGGAAGGAUAAGAACUUAGUGGCGGACGGGUGAGUAACGCGUGGGUAACCUGCCCUUUUGUGGGGAACAACUUCGAGAAAUCGGAGCUAAUACCGCAUAAUAAUAGAGGAUCGCAUGAUUCUUUAAGGAAAGAUGGCCUCUGAAGAUGCUAUCGCAAAAGGAUGGACCCGCGUCUGAUUAGCUAGUUGGAAGGGUAACGGCCUACCAAGGCAACGAUCAGUAGCCGGCCUGAGAGGGUGAACGGCCACAUUGGGACUGAGACACGGCCCAAACUCCUACGGGAGGCAGCAGUGGGGAAUCUUCCGCAAUGGGCGAAAGCCUGACGGAGCAAUGCCGCGUGAGUGAAGAAGGCCUUCGGGUUGUAAAACUCUGUCCUUAUCGAAGAGAGGUAGGUAUGUGAAUAAUGUACCUAUAGGACGGUAGAUAAGGAGGAAGCCCCGGCUAACUACGUGCCAGCAGCCGCGGUAAUACGUAGGGGGCGAGCGUUGUCCGGAAUCACUGGGCGUAAAGGGCGCGUAGGCGGUUUAAUAAGUCAGUGGUGAAAACUGAGGGCUCAACCCUCAGCCUGCCACUGAUACUGUUAGACUUGAGUAUGGAAGAGGAGAAUGGAAUUCCUAGUGUAGCGGUGAAAUGCGUAGAUAUUAGGAGGAACACCAGUGGCGAAGGCGAUUCUCUGGGCCAAGACUGACGCUGAGGCGCGAAAGCGUGGGGAGCAAACAGGAUUAGAUACCCUGGUAGUCCACGCCGUAAACGAUGGAUACUAGGUGUGGGGGGACUGACCCCCUCCGUGCCGCAGCUAACGCAAUAAGUAUCCCACCUGGGGAGUACGAUCGCAAGGUUGAAACUCAAAGGAAUUGACGGGGGCCCGC